CAUCCCUUAAUCGGAGAGUUCCCUUCGGGGACAUUGGUGACAGGUGGUGCAUGGUUGUCGUCAGCUCGUGUCGUGAGAUGUUGGGUUAAGUCCCGCAACGAGCGCAACCCUUGUCUUUAGUUGCCAGCAUUAAGUUGGGCACUCUAGAGAGACUGCCAGGGAUAACCUGGAGGAAGGUGGGGAUGACGUCAAAUCAUCAUGCCCCUUAUGCUUAGGGCUACACACGUGCUACAAUGGGUAGUACAGAGGGUUGCCAAGCCGUAAGG
This 266-nucleotide ribosomal RNA is filed under the name Clostridioides difficile. RNAcentral's name for it is "partial 16S ribosomal RNA". It matches the Rfam family "Bacterial small subunit ribosomal RNA", at positions 996 to 1262 of the family's 1533-position model. The record is from RNAcentral. Lineage: Bacteria; Bacillati; Bacillota; Clostridia; Peptostreptococcales; Peptostreptococcaceae.